RNAcentral lists this ribosomal RNA (1463 nucleotides) under uncultured prokaryote. RNAcentral's name for it is "partial 16S ribosomal RNA". It matches the Rfam family "Bacterial small subunit ribosomal RNA". The record is from RNAcentral.
CCUGGCUCAGAACGAACGCUGGCGGUAUGCUUAACACAUGCAAGUCGAACGCGAAAGUCUCUUCGGAGGCGAGUAGAGUGGCGCACGGGUGAGUAACACGUAGAUAACCUGCCCCUUAGUCUGGGACAACCUUCUGAAAAGAGGGCUAAUACCGGAUAAUACUUUUAGCCAUACGGUUUUAAGUUGAAAGAUUUAUUGCUGAGGGAUGGGUCUGCGCACCAUUAGCUUGUUGGUGAGGUAACGGCUCACCAAGGCGACGAUGGUUAGCGGGUCUGAGAGGAUGGUCCGCCACACUGGAACUGAGACACGGUCCAGACUCCUACGGGAGGCAGCAGUGGGGAAUUUUGCGCAAUGGGCUAAGGCCUGACGCAGCAAUACCGCGUGAGUGAAGAAGGCCCUUGGGUCGUAAAGCUCUUUUUUUCAGGGAAGAUAAUGACGGUACCUGAAGAAUAAGCACCGGCUAACUCCGUGCCAGCAGCCGCGGUAAUACGGAGGGUGCGAGCGUUGUUCGGAUUUACUGGGCGUAAAGGGCACGCAGGCGGCAUAACAAGCUAAGGGUGAAAUCCCGGGGCUCAACUCCGGAACUGUUCUUAGAACUGUUAAGCUAGAGAUAGUUAGAGGCGGGUGGAAUUCCUGGUGUAGAGGUGAAAUUCGUAGAUAUCAGGAGGAACACCGGAGGGCGAAGGCGACCCGCUGGAACUAUUCUGACGCUGAGGUGCGAAAGCGUGGGGAGCGAACGGGAUUAGAUACCCCGGUAGUCCACGCCGUAAACGAUGAAUACCAGCUGUUUGAAUAACGACAACUCCCAAGUGGUGCAGCUAACGCGAUGAGUACUCCGCCUGGGAACUACGGUCGCAAGACUAAAACUCAAAGGAAUUGACGGGGACCCGCACAAGCGGUGGAGCAUGUGGUUUAAUUCGACGCAACGCGCAGAACCUUACCUGGGUUUGACAUCCUCUGACAGGUCUAGAGAUAGAUUUUUUUCUUCGGAAACAGAGUGACAGGUGCUGCAUGGCUGUCGUCAGCUCGUGUCGUGAGAUGUUGGGUUAAGUCCCGCAACGAGCGCAACCCUUAUCCUUAGUUGCCAGCACGUAAUGGUGGGAACUCUAGGGAGACUGCCUGUGUCAAGCAGGAGGAAGGUGGGGAUGACGUCAAGUCCUCAUGGCCUUUAUAUCCAGGGCUACACACGUGCUACAAUGGCAUCUACAAAGAGCAGCUAAGCCGCGAGGCCACGCGAAUCUCAAAAAAGAUGUCUCAGUUCGGAUCGCAGUCUGCAACUCGACUGCGUGAAGCUGGAAUCGCUAGUAAUCGUGGAUCAGCAUGCCACGGUGAAUACGUUCCCGGGUCUUGUACACACCGCCCGUCACACCAUGGGAGUUGACAUUGGCAGAAUACAUUGAGCUAACCCUUUUAGGGACGCAGGUGUGCAAGCUAGUGUUGAUGACUGGGGUGAAGUCGUAACA